AUUAAACGCUGGCGGCAUGCCUUACACAUGCAAGUCGAACGGCAGCACGGGGGCAACCCUGGUGGCGAGUGGCGGACGGGUGAGUAAAGCAUCGGAACGUAUCCUGGAGUGGGGGAUAAUGUAGCGAAAGUUACGCUAAUACCGCAUAUUCUGUGAGCAGGAAAGCAGGGGAUCGCAAGACCUUGCGCUCUGGGAGCGGCCGAUGUCGGAUUAGCUAGUUGGUGGGGUAAAGGCCUACCAAGGCGACGAUCCGUAGCGGGUCUGAGAGGAUGAUCCGCCACACUGGGACUGAGACACGGCCCAGACUCCUACGGGAGGCAGCAGUGGGGAAUUUUGGACAAUGGGCGGAAGCCUGAUCCAGCCAUGCCGCGUGAGUGAAGAAGGCCU
Molecule: ribosomal RNA, 387 nt
Filed under: uncultured bacterium
Lineage: Bacteria
Description: bacterial SSU rRNA
Rfam family: Bacterial small subunit ribosomal RNA
Source: RNAcentral